This 301-nucleotide ribosomal RNA is filed under the name uncultured Lactobacillus sp. RNAcentral's name for it is "bacterial SSU rRNA". It matches the Rfam family "Bacterial small subunit ribosomal RNA", at positions 496 to 795 of the family's 1533-position model. The record is from RNAcentral. Lineage: Bacteria; Bacillati; Bacillota; Bacilli; Lactobacillales; Lactobacillaceae.
AUCAACUAGGUUCCGCAGGCGUCGGUAAUAGGAGGUGCGCUAGAGUUGGUCGGAGUAUGUGGACGUAAAAGGGGAGUAGGCGACUUAGUAAGCGUGAUGUGAAACCCCCAAGUUCAACUUGGGGCGGCCAUGCGGAAGUGCUAUGGAUAGAGUCUGGUAAGGGAACACGGAAUUCCUGGGGUAGCGGUGAAAUGCUUAGAUAUCAGGAGGAACACCAGUGGCGAAGGCGGUGUUCUGGGCCAGUACUGUCGCUGAGGCGCGAAAGCGUGGGGAGCGAACAGGAUUAGAAACCCGAGUAGUC